This 870-nucleotide ribosomal RNA is filed under the name Agaricus sp. ZRLWXH3161. RNAcentral describes it as "eukaryotic LSU rRNA". It matches the Rfam family "Eukaryotic large subunit ribosomal RNA", at positions 64 to 921 of the family's 3401-position model. The record is from RNAcentral. Lineage: Eukaryota; Fungi; Basidiomycota; Agaricomycetes; Agaricales; Agaricaceae.
ACUAACAAGGAUUCCCCUAGUAACUGCGAGUGAAGCGGGAAAAGCUCAAAUUUAAAAUCUGGCAGUCUCUGGCUGUCCGAGUUGUAAUCUAGAGAAGUAAUGCUCGUGCUGGACCGUGUACAAGUCUCCUGGGAUGGAGCGUCAUAGAGGGUGAGAAUCCCGUCUUUGACACGGACUACCAGUGCAUUGUGGUAUGCUCUCAAAGAGUCGAGUUGUUUGGGAAUGCAGCUCAAAAUGGGUGGUAAAUUCCAUCUAAAGCUAAAUAUUGGCGAGAGACCGAUAGCGAACAAGUACCGUGAGGGAAAGAUGAAAAGAACUUUGGAAAGAGAGUUAAACAGUACGUGAAAUUGCUGAAAGGGAAACGCUUGAAGUCAGUCGCGUUGGCCAGAAAUCAGCCUUGGUUCUCCUGGGUGUACUUUCUGGUUGACGGGUCAGCAUCAAUUUUGACCGCUGGAAAAAGACAUGGGGAAUGUGGCAGCUUCGGCUGUGUUAUAGCCCCUAGUCGCAUACAGUGGUUGGGAUUGAGGAACUCAGCACGCCGCAAGGCCGGGUUUCGACCACGUUCGUGCUUAGGAUGCUGGCAUAAUGGCUUUAAGCGACCCGUCUUGAAACACGGACCAAGGAGUCUAACAUGCCUGCGAGUAUUUGGGUGGAAAACUCAAAUGCGUAAUGAAAGUGAAAGUUGAGAUCCCUGUCGUGGGGAGCAUCGACGCCCGGACCAGAACUUUUGGGACGGAUCCGCGGUGGAGCAUGUAUGUUGGGACCCGAAAGAUGGUGAACUAUGCCUGAAUAGGGUGAAGCCAGAGGAAACUCUGGUGGAGGCUCGUAGCGAUUCUGACGUGCAAAUCGAUCGUCAAAUUUGGGUAUAGG